GGUUAUAAACUGAUAUAAUUGUAUUUUGGUAAUAUGUAUAUAUAUGUUAAUGAAAUUUAUAUGUGGGAAUAGUAGAUGUAUAUAUGUUUUAUAAACAGUAGGGUAACGUGUACAUUUAUUGUGCCUGUAUAUGUAUAUAUAUAUACCCAUCGGAGCUGUAUUGAUGGAUUGGUGAAGGGGCAGGAUAGCACAGUGAUGGGUGAGGUGGGUUUAAUAAUAAUACUAGUGGAUAGGGUUUUAAGGGUUGUUGCUGCUGUGGGGGAGGACCCGCGCGCCGGUAACAGAGGGCCGUGUGCAAUACUAGAGGGGGCCACGAGCCGGUAACAGAGAGCCGUGUGCAAUACUAGAGGGGGCCACGAGCCGGUAACAGCGGGCCGUGUGCAAGAGAAAGGGUCCGCGAGCGGGUAGAUAUGUAUAUAUAAGGCGCUCCCGCCGGCGGACGUUAGACUGCAGAUCCCCCUCUCAGUGCUCGCACCUAGGUCUCCAGCGCUGCUAAGAGCUGUAGCACUGUAAACAUUACAGCAGCGGCAGGAGUAGCUUAGGGUGCGCAGCCAGAGAGGGCAAUUGGAAGGGAUAAAUAGACAAUGCGCCAGGAAGCUGCUGCUGACUGACCUUGUUAUCGCUGAGGUGUCAGGUGGAGAGGCGGAGAUCGCGCCAGGAGCCGCCGCUGUGGUGUUGUGCCGACGGUGAUGUUCGGGUGAGCGGCGGUGCAAGGCUGGAUCCAUCGGAGGUGAUGGCAUGGCGCCAUGGCAACACUGACGCCAACGGCAGAAUUAGCUUACCCUUCCCUCUAGAGGCAGAGCAGAAGCAGAGGCCCAAUAAGCAGUAGAGGGGCGGAGCCUGCCUGACAGUUGCUGAUCAGAGGAGGAGUCGGGGGAGCACUCAGAGCAGUACCGUUGUGCUGUGGAUAUCUUAUGCUUGUUGAUAUGUUGCCUUGGUGAUGGGAGCACUAUGAUGACGUCAGCGACGUCUACGUCAGCGUUCCUGGGUGGGCUGCAAUCCCGUUUCCGGAUCGAUGGCGCCAGUCACUGGGGUGAGAUCACUAUUUAGGGCAUGGACUGGCGUUUUGUCUCCGGAUCGUACCGGGAGAUCCAUGUUUCAUCACCGGUAAAAUUCCCAGCGAUUCCUCGUCACUGUAAAAAUUUGAUAGCAGCUAAUCUUCCUGAUUGUCCCUACUCCAGAACCGCCGGAGUAAGCUGUACAUGAUCUUCAUUCAGAGGCAAAUAAAUGCAUUGUCAGUGUAGAAGGAAUGAAAUGCAGCACUGUCCACCCUAAGACGUCUCAACUCAGUCCGCAGUGACCUGGAGGUCACACCAAGAGGAUAUGGAGAGUGGAUCACACACGAUUGGGUAAUAAUAAUUGCGCCUCUGAGUUCAAGUCUGGGACUAUUGUAGCUUCAUCUGGACUACUUCAUCAUCUUUGCUGCACUGGCUAUGUUCUGGAAUGAAGGGAA
Long non-coding RNA from Pseudophryne corroboree (corroboree frog), 1453 nucleotides. RefSeq lists it as uncharacterized. The record is from RefSeq and is a predicted model, not a curated record. The transcript is spliced from 5 exons. NCBI's taxonomy places the organism in Eukaryota, Metazoa, Chordata, Amphibia, Anura, Myobatrachidae.